UACAGAGGUGGCAAGCGUUGUUCGGAAUUACUGGGCGUAAAGGGCGCGUAGGCGGCCUGUUAAGUCGAACGUGAAAUCCCUGGGCUCAACCCAGGAACUGCGUCCGAUACUGGCAGGCUUGAAUUCGGGAGAGGGAUGCGGAAUUCCAGGUGUAGCGGUGAAAUGCGUAGAUAUCUGGAGGAACACCGGUGGCGAAGGCAGCUCGCUGGAACGGUACUGACGCUGAGGCGCGAAAGCGUGGGGAGCAAACAGG
RNAcentral lists this ribosomal RNA (253 nucleotides) under uncultured bacterium. Its description in RNAcentral is "partial 16S ribosomal RNA". It matches the Rfam family "Bacterial small subunit ribosomal RNA", at positions 524 to 776 of the family's 1533-position model. The record is from RNAcentral.